GCGGAGGAAAAGAAACCAACAGGGAUUGCCCCAGUAACGGCGAGUGAAGCGGCAACAGCUCAAAUUUGAAAUCUGGUCCCCCCGCGGGGCCCGAGUUGUAAUUUGAAGAGGAUGCUUCUGGCAAGGUGCCGUCCGAGUUCCCUGGAACGGGACGCCGCAGAGGGUGAGAGCCCCGUACGGUCGGACGCCGAGCCUCUGUGAAGCUCCUUCGACGAGUCGAGUAGUUUGGGAAUGCUGCUCAAAAUGGGAGGUAAACCCCUUCUAAAGCUAAAUACCGGCCAGAGACCGAUAGCGCACAAGUAGAGUGAUCGAAAGAUGAAAAGCACUUUGAAAAGAGAGUUAAAAAGCACGUGAAAUUGUUGAAAGGGAAGCGCUUGCGACCAGACUCGCGCCCGUCGGAUCAGCCGUCGCUCGUCGGCGGCGCACUCCGGCGGGCUCGGGCCAGCAUCAGUUCGCCUCGGGGGGAGAAAGGCGGCGGGAAUGUGGCUCUACGGAGUGUUAUAGCCCGCCGCGUAAUACCCCCGGGCGGU
RNAcentral lists this ribosomal RNA (530 nucleotides) under Microascus gracilis. RNAcentral describes it as "eukaryotic LSU rRNA". It matches the Rfam family "Eukaryotic large subunit ribosomal RNA", at positions 50 to 584 of the family's 3401-position model. The record is from RNAcentral. Lineage: Eukaryota; Fungi; Ascomycota; Sordariomycetes; Microascales; Microascaceae.